This 29-nucleotide non-coding RNA is filed under the name Rattus norvegicus (Norway rat). The record is from RNAcentral. Lineage: Eukaryota; Metazoa; Chordata; Mammalia; Rodentia; Muridae.
UAGUCAUUUUUCUUUCUUCGGUAAUCAAA